GACGAACGCUGGCGGCGUGCUUAACGCAUGCAAGUCGAACGAGGUCCAUGCAGUGGCAACACUGCGGAAGACCGAGUGGCGAACGGGUGAGUAACACGUGAGGAACCCACCCCGGAGACCGGGAUAACCCUCCGAAAGGAGAGCUAAUACCGGAUGUCCUCACCGGAUCGCAUGGUCUGGUGAGGAAAUGGAUUCCGCUCCGGGACGGCCUCGCGGCCUAUCAGCUUGUUGGUGAGGUAACGGCCCACCAAGGCAUAGACGGGUAGCUGGUCUGAGAGGACGGUCAGCCACACUGGGACUGAGACACGGCCCAGACCCCUACGGGAGGCAGCAGCGGGGAAUAUUGCGCAAUGGGCGAAAGCCUGACGCAGCAACGCCGCGUGAGGGAUGAAGGCUCUCGGGUUGUAAACCUCUUUCAGCAGGGACGAAAACAGACGGUACCUGCAGAAGAAGCCCCGGCCAACUACGUGCCAGCAGCCGCGGUAACACGUAGGGGGCGAGCGUUGUCCGGAUUUAUUGGGCGUAAAGAGCUCGUAGGCGGUUCGAUAAGUCGGGUGUGAAAACUCUGGGCUCAACUCAGAGACGCCACCCGAUACUGUUGUGACUUGAGUCCGGUAGGGGAGUAUGGAAUUCCCAGUGUAGCGGUGAAAUGCGCAGAUAUUGGGAGGAACACCAGUGGCGAAGGCGGUACUCUGGGCCGGAACUGACGCUGAGGAGCGAAAGCGUGGGUAGCGAACAGGAUUAGAUACCCUGGUAGUCCACGCCGUAAACGUUGGGCACUAGGUGUGGGUCUCAACCAACGGGAUCCGUGCCGCAGCUAACGCAUUAAGUGCCC
RNAcentral lists this ribosomal RNA (835 nucleotides) under uncultured Actinomycetes bacterium. Its description in RNAcentral is "bacterial SSU rRNA". It matches the Rfam family "Bacterial small subunit ribosomal RNA", at positions 28 to 869 of the family's 1533-position model. Lineage: Bacteria; Bacillati; Actinomycetota; Actinomycetes. The record is from RNAcentral.